GACGAACGCUGGCGGCGUGCUUAACACAUGCAAGUCGAACGGAAAGGCCCUGCUUUUGUGGGGUUCUCGAGUGGCGAACGGGUGAGUAACACGUGAGUAACCUGCCCUUGACUUUGGGAUAACUUCAGGAAACUGGGGCUCAUACCGGAUAGGAGCUCCUGCUGCAUGGUGGGGGUUGGAAAGUUUCGGCGGUUGGGGAUGGACUCGCGGCUUAUCAGCUUGUUGGUGGGGUAGUGGCUUACCAAGGCUUUGACGGGUAGCCGGCCUGAGAGGGUGACCGGCCACAUUGGGACUGAGAGACGGCGCAGACUGCUACGGGAGGCAGCAGUGGGGAAUAUUGCACAAUGGGCGGAAGCCUGAUGCAGCAACGCCGCGUGCGGGAUGACGGCCUUCGGGUUGUAAACCGCUUUCGCCUGUGACGAAGCGUGAGUGACGGUAAUGGGUAAAGAAGCACCGGCUAACUACGUG
RNAcentral lists this ribosomal RNA (468 nucleotides) under uncultured bacterium. RNAcentral's name for it is "partial 16S ribosomal RNA". It matches the Rfam family "Bacterial small subunit ribosomal RNA", at positions 28 to 507 of the family's 1533-position model. The record is from RNAcentral.